Molecule: ribosomal RNA, 276 nt
Filed under: uncultured bacterium
Lineage: Bacteria
Description: partial 16S ribosomal RNA
Rfam family: Bacterial small subunit ribosomal RNA
Source: RNAcentral
CUUUCUCCGCCGGCGACCGGCGCACGGGUGAGUAACACGUAUGCAACCUGCCCCUGUCAGGGGGACAACCCGCCGAAAGGCGGGCUAAACCCGCGUACAUGCCACCGGGGCAUCCCGGAGGCAGGAAAGGCUUCGGCCGGACAGGGAUGGGCAUGCGGCGCAUUAGGCAGUAGGCGGGGUAACGGCCCACCUAACCGACGAUGCGUAGGGGUUCUGAGAGGAAGGUCCCCCACACUGGUACUGAGACACGGGCCAGACUCCUACGGGAGGCAGCAG